This 1343-nucleotide ribosomal RNA is filed under the name uncultured bacterium. Its description in RNAcentral is "16S ribosomal RNA". It matches the Rfam family "Bacterial small subunit ribosomal RNA", at positions 28 to 1378 of the family's 1533-position model. The record is from RNAcentral.
GACGAACGCUGGCGGCGUGCUUAACACAUGCAAGUCGAACGGAAAGGCCCUGCUUUUGUGGGGUGCUCGAGUGGCGAACGGGUGAGUAACACGUGAGUAACCUGCCCUUGACUUUGGGAUAACUUCAGGAAACUGGGGCUAAUACCGGAUAGGAGCUCCUGCUGCAUGGUGGGGGUUGGAAAGUUUCGGCGGUUGGGGAUGGACUCGCGGCUUAUCAGCUUGUUGGUGGGGUAGUGGCUUACCAAGGCUUUGACGGGUAGCCGGCCUGAGAGGGUGACCGGCCACAUUGGGACUGAGAUACGGCCCAGACUCCUACGGGAGGCAGCAGUGGGGAAUAUUGCACAAUGGGCGGAAGCCUGAUGCAGCAACGCCGCGUGCGGGAUGACGGCCUUCGGGUUGUAAACCGCUUUCGCCUGUGACGAAGCGUGAGUGACGGUAAUGGGUAAAGAAGCACCGGCUAACUACGUGCCAGCAGCCGCGGUGAUACGUAGGGUGCGAGCGUUGUCCGGAUUUAUUGGGCGUAAAGGGCUCGUAGGUGGUUGAUCGCGUCGGAAGUGUAAUCUUGGGGCUUAACCCUGAGCGUGCUUUCGAUACGGGUUGACUUGAGGAAGGUAGGGGAGAAUGGAAUUCCUGGUGGAGCGGUGGAAUGCGCAGAUAUCAGGAGGAACACCAGUGGCGAAGGCGGUUCUCUGGGCCUUUCCUGACGCUGAGGAGCGAAAGCGUGGGGAGCGAACAGGCUUAGAUACCCUGGUAGUCCACGCUGUAAACGGUGGGUACUAGGUGUGGGGCCCAUUCCACGGGUUCCGUGCCGUAGCUAACGCUUUAAGUACCCCGCCUGGGGAGUACGGCCGCAAGGCUAAAACUCAAAGGAAUUGACGGGGCCCCGCACAAGCGGCGGAGCAUGCGGAUUAAUUCGAUGCAACGCGUAGAACCUUACCUGGGUUUGACAUGGAUCGGGAGUGCUCAGAGAUGGGUGUGCCUCUUUUGGGGUCGGUUCACAGGUGGUGCAUGGCUGUCGUCAGCUCGUGUCGUGAGAUGUUGGGUUAAGUCCCGCAACGAGCGCAACCCUUGUUCACUGUUGCCAGCACGUUAUGGUGGGGACUCAGUGGAGACCGCCGGGGUCAACUCGGAGGAAGGUGGGGAUGACGUCAAGUCGUCAUGCCCCUUAUGUCCAGGGCUUCACGCAUGCUACAAUGGCUGGUACAGAGAGUGGCGAGCCUGUGAGGGUGAGCGAAUCUCGGAAAGCCGGUCUCAGUUCGGAUUGGGGUCUGCAACUCGACCUCAUGAAGUCGGAGUCGCUAGUAAUCGCAGAUCAGCAACGCUGCGGUGAAUACGUUCCCGGG